GCAUGGUUAUGGAUUUAUGGUGUGGCCCACACAUGGCUACCUCAUAGUGUACCCCAUGCUAGAUCAAGCUGCUGCUCCGAACCAUUGGCAGGUGUAUAUCUGUGAGCCUGAUCCACUGAAGAGAGCUGUAUAGCU
Molecule: small nucleolar RNA, 135 nt
Organism: Xenopus tropicalis (tropical clawed frog)
Lineage: Eukaryota; Metazoa; Chordata; Amphibia; Anura; Pipidae
Source: Ensembl